UGUGCUUUAACCCGGUGUGGAUUCGUAGUGAAUGUUGCCAUCCGGAUUUGGGUGUGAGAACCUUAUCGGCUCAGCUUGUCGUGAGCAGUGUUAGCCGCACAGGCGUUAUCUCGGCACCGGUAGUGGGAGACGGAACCAUCAGCCAAUCGUUGUCCACCUAGCCUAGGAUAUCGCGCUGCAAAGAGGGGAGAUAUUGUCGGCCGCCCUAUUUAAGCUAAGUCCUGUUCUGAUGCACCAAAACCACUAAACCGGUGUACCUGUCCUGUAAGCUGUGCAUUGUGGACUCUCUCUCUCUCUCUCUCUCUCUCUCUCUCUCGACAGGAGCUGUGAGCCCAAGUGGUUGCGUGGGGGCCCCAAGGUGUUUGUCUUUUGGAUUGAAGUAAUCACGUGUGGUGUGGAUUUUCGGGACCUUCUCUCCUCUGAUAACC
Long non-coding RNA from Alosa sapidissima (American shad), 428 nucleotides. RefSeq lists it as uncharacterized. Lineage: Eukaryota; Metazoa; Chordata; Actinopteri; Clupeiformes; Clupeidae. The record is from RefSeq and is a predicted model, not a curated record. The transcript is spliced from 3 exons.